Molecule: long non-coding RNA, 1452 nt
Organism: Raphanus sativus (radish)
Lineage: Eukaryota; Viridiplantae; Streptophyta; Magnoliopsida; Brassicales; Brassicaceae
Exons: 2
Source: RefSeq, a predicted model, not a curated record
AGAUAUUUUUAGUUUUAUUUUUAUUUUUCACUUUCCCAAUUUCUCAUCUAACUAAGAUGCAUUCUCUUUCCUCCUCCAAUCUCGAUUUCAAAACUAACAUAGAUUUUGAAUACAGGUCCGUCGAGGUGAGUGAUCUCAUUUGUUCUUUUGAACUAUUAUGGUGCGAAGAUCAUAGUCGCAGCCACCAUAUGCAUGCUAGCUUUUCUCAGUUUCCCCCACCGUCACUCUCGUCUCAGUAAGACAUUGCCGCCGCUCUCCGUCACAAGAUCUCGAAUACUGCUUCGUAAAUACUCCGGCUACCAUGCGAAGAUCGCGUUCAUGUUCCCUUCUUGCUCUUUGCGCUUUUAAUUCAAAUCAAGAGCGUAUUGAAAAUACUCCGGCAACUUUCUGAAGAUCUAAUUGUGUUAACCAUGGACAGAUCUGAUUCUAGAGAUCUCUACUACAACUUAGCUCGAGCUUCAUCACAGAAAAAGAAGUUGUGAAAAUAGGAAUCCCAAAGCAUAAAUGGACACCAAAAAAAGAUCUUAUGGUUGGACUCAAAUAUGGAACUGGAAAAUGGCUUUACAUACUCGCAGACUCUGGGUACUACCUCUCUCCAGACCCCCAACCCCAACUCCACACCGACCAUAACAGCAAUCCCGACAUCCACACUUCCUAAGCCCCUAGCAGCCACAUCCACAUCCACACCUCUCUUUUUGCUGAUAACCACAUCCACAUUUCCUGUUUUGCUGAUAACCACAUCCACAUGUCCCUUGUCACAAUACCAAACAAUAUACACAUGGUGAUUGGGUCUGGACAUCUACAAAACCACAAUCCUGAUUUUUUACCAUGCAUCUUACCACAUCUACAUAACCACAUCCACAUGUCCCUUGUCACAUGAGGAUUCUGUGCUUUCUUGUACCCAUUGUUACAUCACUAUGAGAUUUUUAGGCUUAGAUUUAGCUUUUUCUUACCUCAGUGUGAGGUUCUUUUACUUCAGUAUGAAGUUCUCUUAUCUCUUUAUGAGGUUGUUAUUGGUAAUCUACUCCUUUUGUGUUCACUGUUAUAUUUUUGUAUGUUGGUAUUCUUAACUUAUGUUGCAGGGAUACACUAUGAAAUUAGGAUUUCAUAAAAACCAGUAUUGGCUCUCUAGUCUUGAUUUGGUAGGUAUGAACGUGGUGUUUCUUGAAACUCCACACUCGUUUGAUGCUUGCAGUUGUUGCUCCAGCUUGUUUGGACACCAGUUCACUGUCUGAAUGUCUGUAUUCUGAUUUCCAUUGCUUCAUCUCAUGGUUUAGCACUUUGGUGUUGUUGCCCAUGGGUUAUGUAUGUGCGUCUAUUAAUUAUAUCUUUUGUUUAGCUUUUAAUGCAGCAGCUUCUCUAACCAGUUUGACAACUCUGUUGUACUUGAACAAGUCCUCCAUAUAUGGAGUGUAAGCUUUUAUUUAUAAAAUUUGGAUUUGUUCAAUAUUA